GGGAUAACAGUUGGAAACGACUGCUAAUACCGCAUAAGCGCACAGGGUCGCAUGACCUGGUGUGAAAAACUCCGGUGGUAUGAGAUGGACCCGCGUCUGAUUAGCCAGUUGGUGGGGUAACGGCCUACCAAAGCGACGAUCAGUAGCCGACCUGAGAGGGUGACCGGCCACAUUGGGACUGAGACACGGCCCAAACUCCUACGGGAGGCAGCAGUGGGGAAUAUUGCACAAUGGGGGAAACCCUGAUGCAGCGACGCCGCGUGAGCGAAGAAGUAUUUCGGUAUGUAAAGCUCUAUCAGCAGGGAAGAAGAAAUGACGGUACCUGACUAAGAAGCACCGGCUAAAUACGUGCCAGCAGCCGCGGUAAUACGUAUGGUGCAAGCGUUAUCCGGAUUUACUGGGUGUAAAGGGAGCGCAGGCGGUACGGCAAGUCUGAUGUGAAAGCCCGGGGCUCAACCCCGGUACUGCAUUGGAAACUGUCGGACUAGAGUGUCGGAGGGGUAAGUGGAAUUCCUAGUGUAGCGGUGAAAUGCGUAGAUAUUAGGAGGAACACCAGUGGCGAAGGCGGCUUACUGGACGAUUACUGACGCUGAGGCUCGAAAGCGUGGGGAGCAAACAGGAUUAGAUACCCUGGUAGUCCACGCCGUAA
Molecule: ribosomal RNA, 649 nt
Filed under: uncultured bacterium
Lineage: Bacteria
Description: bacterial SSU rRNA
Rfam family: Bacterial small subunit ribosomal RNA
Source: RNAcentral